Molecule: long non-coding RNA, 941 nt
Filed under: Gallus gallus (chicken)
Lineage: Eukaryota; Metazoa; Chordata; Aves; Galliformes; Phasianidae
Source: RNAcentral
GCACAGAGACAGACCGGCUGAAUGACUCCAUACAACUGAUACAUAACCUUUCAGUGUUCUCCUGUCUGCCAACCUCAGAAUUUCACAUAGGAAAGGUGAAAAAAGGACUCCUGCACGCUUGCACAGCCUGAGCUUUCUGAGCACAUCUACUGAAAACCCACCCCUGGGAAGCACAGACUGAGCUGCUGUCACCUCCCGAGAAGCACGAGGCCAUCCCUGGGCGAGCAGCGAGCGAGGAGAUGCAUCCAAAUCAGAGGCAGCGUGUGAGGGUGAGAGCUGCUGUUAAUCUCUGCCUAUUUCCAGAGCGCCCACAUCCCCACCGCACAGCCGGAGGAGCGCUGCCUCCCACCGCUGUCAUUCCCCUCCGGACCCUCAGCGCAGUGUUCCCGUCGGGGCGGCGGCGGCAGCAGCGCGAACCCGGGCGGGGCCGGCCGGCCCACACAGGUGUACCGCUGUGGAGGCCGCUGUGCGUUGCCCUGCAGCUAACUGAAAAACAUGGCUUCAAUGUGAGAAGUAACUGAAGCACACAUUGGCAGUGGGUGGCAGAAGGGCCCAAGGUUUCAAAAGCAAACUGCAUGGGACCGCUGAAGAAACAGUCCAUUGAAAACCCACCUCAUGUAAGUUUUAGGCAAAGGUGGUCUCCAGCCCUUUCAAGCAGAAUUUCAAGUUGCUGAGCUCAUCCUCCAGCACCACUUGGUACUACUCAGGGUAGCACUUCCAUUGCCAGGAUCCAGCUCAGUAGAACAGUCCAUCUUUGCUCUCAUCAUUUGGCCCAAGCACACCUCAGCACCCAGCAAGUUCCCUCAUUCCUACUGAAGAGAUGGGAAUCCAGUGUUCAUCCUGAGUACCCUGCUACACCUUCUGCUUCCGUUUCCAUUUGCAAGAAGUGUUUGCUGCUUCUGUGGAAUUUAUUAAAGAUUUCUUUAAUAAAACUACUGUUG